This is a long non-coding RNA of Olea europaea var. sylvestris, 383 nucleotides long. RefSeq lists it as uncharacterized. The transcript has 3 exons. Lineage: Eukaryota; Viridiplantae; Streptophyta; Magnoliopsida; Lamiales; Oleaceae. The record is from RefSeq and is a predicted model, not a curated record.
AAGCUGGGACCGAAAAAAGGGAGAAAAAUUGGGGAAAAAGGGAAGAAAAAAAAAGAAAGAAGAAAGGAAAGAAGAAAAGUGAAGAAGAAGAAAAGAGGUAAGGCUAAUCUAUUCAAGCUUGGGUUGAAUUUUUCCAUUUGUUUCAAGUGAUAAAGUAUUAAUUAUGUUAAAAUUCUAGGGUUCUAUUUUGGCUCGAAAUUUUCAGAUUUUUUUGAGAUGAAUACUAUUUGGAGCUCAAGUUAUUGUUUCUUGAAUUUCUAUCUACAUUAAGGCGGUAACGAGGAGAUUGGAAGAGCCUAUCGACCAUCUUAGGUUUAUCUUGUAUUAUCAAUUAUCAACGAAUUCUUCAGGAUCAUUUCUACAUUCUCUAAAAAUUGCCACAA